This 658-nucleotide ribosomal RNA is filed under the name Salmonella enterica. Its description in RNAcentral is "partial 23S ribosomal RNA". It matches the Rfam family "Bacterial large subunit ribosomal RNA", at positions 612 to 1269 of the family's 2925-position model. The record is from RNAcentral. Lineage: Bacteria; Pseudomonadati; Pseudomonadota; Gammaproteobacteria; Enterobacterales; Enterobacteriaceae.
AUAAUGGGUCAGCGACUUAUAUUCUGUAGCAAGGUUAACCGAAUAGGGGAGCCGGAGGGAAACCGAGUCUUAACCGGGCGUUAAGUUGCAGGGUAUAGACCCGAAACCCGGUGAUCUAGCCAUGGGCAGGUUGAAGGUUGGGUAACACUAACUGGAGGACCGAACCGACUAAUGUUGAAAAAUUAGCGGAUGACCUGUGGCUGGGGGUGAAAGGCCAAUCAAACCGGGAGAUAGCUGGUUCUCCCCGAAAGCUAUUUAGGUAGCGCCUCGUGAAUUCAUCUCCGGGGGUAGAGCACUGUUUCGGCUAGGGGGCCAUCCCGGCUUACCAACCCGAUGCAAACUGCGAAUACCGGAGAAUGUUAUCACGGGAGACACACGGCGGGUGCUAACGUCCGUCGUGAAGAGGGAAACAACCCAGACCGCCAGCUAAGGUCCCAAAGUCAUGGUUAAGUGGGAAACGAUGUGGGAAGGCCCAGACAGCCAGGAUGUUGGCUUAGAAGCAGCCAUCAUUUAAAGAAAGCGUAAUAGCUCACUGGUCGAGUCGGCCUGCGCGGAAGAUGUAACGGGGCUAAACCAUGCACCGAAGCUGCGGCAGCGACGCUUAUGCGUUGUUGGGUAGGGGAGCGUUCUGUAAGCCUGUGAAGGUGUGUCGUGAGGC